CAGCCGCCGCGGGAAUACGUAGGUGGCAAGCGUUGUCCGGAAUUAUUGGGCGUAAAGGGCUCGCAGGCGGUUUCUUAAGUCUGAUGUGAAAGCCCCCGGCUCAACCGGGGAGGGUCAUUGGAAAUUGGGAAACUUGAGUGCAGAAGAGGAGAGUGGAAUUCCACGUGUAGCGGUGAAAUGCGUAGAGAUGUGGAGGAACACCAGUGGCGAAGGCGACUCUCUGGUCUGUAACUGACGCUGAGGAGCGAAAGCGUGGGGAGCGAACAGGAUUAGAUACCCCAGUAGUCCCUGUCUCUUAUAC
Molecule: ribosomal RNA, 301 nt
Filed under: uncultured bacterium
Lineage: Bacteria
Description: partial 16S ribosomal RNA
Rfam family: Bacterial small subunit ribosomal RNA
Source: RNAcentral